GGUUAAGCGACUAAGCGUACACGGUGGAUGCCCUGGCAGUCAGAGGCGAUGAAGGACGUGCUAAUCUGCGAAAAGCGUCGGUAAGGUGAUAUGAACCGUUAUAGCCGGCGAUGUCCGAAUGGGGAAACCCAGUGCAAUUCGUUGCACUAUCGUUUGAUGAAUACAUAGUCAAACGAGGCGAACCGGGGGAACUGAAACAUCUAAGUACCCCGAGGAAAAGAAAUCAACCGAGAUUCCCCCAGUAGCGGCGAGCGAACGGGGAGCAGCCCGGAGUCUGAAUCAGCUUGUGUGUUAGUGGAAGCGUCUGGAAAGUCGCAGGGUACAGGGUGAUACUCCCGUACACUAAAACACACAGGUUGUGAACUCGAAGAGUAGGGCGGGACACGUGGUAUCCUGUCUGAAUAUGGGGGGACCAUCCUCCAAGGCU
This 427-nucleotide ribosomal RNA is filed under the name Klebsiella michiganensis. RNAcentral describes it as "partial 23S ribosomal RNA". It matches the Rfam family "Bacterial large subunit ribosomal RNA", at positions 1 to 467 of the family's 2925-position model. Lineage: Bacteria; Pseudomonadati; Pseudomonadota; Gammaproteobacteria; Enterobacterales; Enterobacteriaceae. The record is from RNAcentral.